Molecule: ribosomal RNA, 996 nt
Filed under: Ptilinopus rivoli
Lineage: Eukaryota; Metazoa; Chordata; Aves; Columbiformes; Columbidae
Description: partial 16S ribosomal RNA
Rfam family: Bacterial large subunit ribosomal RNA
Source: RNAcentral
CAUGACUCCCUUCCCACUAACAGGUUAACCUAUGAUAAUAGGAGAAUUUAUACUAAAAUGAGUAACUAGGGUGCACCCCUCUCAAGCGCAAACUUACAUUCCCACAUUAUUAACAGACACUUAAUAUCCCCACGUCAACAAGACCUCGUAUUUUACCCACUGUUAAUCCAACCCAGGAGCGCCUGCUAGAAAGAUUAAAAUCUGUAAAAGGAACUAGGCAAACCCCCAAGGCCCGACUGUUUACCAAAAACAUAGCCUUCAGCCAAACCAAGUAUUGAAGGUGAUGCCUGCCCAGUGACCUAUGUUCAACGGCCGCGGUAUCCUAACCGUGCGAAGGUAGCGCAAUCAAUUGUCUCAUAAAUCGAGACUUGUAUGAAUGGCUAAACGAGGUCUUAACUGUCUCUUACAGAUAAUCAGUGAAAUUGAUCUCCCUGUGCAAAAGCAGGAAUACAUACAUAAGACGAGAAGACCCUGUGGAACUUAAAAAUCAAUAGCCACCCCACAAACAAACCAAACCUACCCAGGCCCACCACUACAACACACUGGCUAACAUUUUUCGGUUGGGGCGACCUUGGAGAAAAACAAACCCUCCAAAAAUAAGACCACCCCUCUUAACCAAGAGCAACCCCUCGACGUACUAAUAGUAACCAGACCCAAUAUAAUUGAUCAAUGGACCAAGCUACCCCAGGGAUAACAGCGCAAUCCCUUCCAAGAGCCCAUAUCGACGAAGGGGUUUACGACCUCGAUGUUGGAUCAGGACAUCCUAAUGGUGCAGCAGCUAUUAAGGGUUCGUUUGUUCAACGAUUAACAGUCCUACGUGAUCUGAGUUCAGACCGGAGUAAUCCAGGUCGGUUUCUAUCUAUGACGAACUUUUCCCAGUACGAAAGGACCGGAAAAGUGAGGCCAAUACUUCAAAUUGCACGCCUCCCCUCUAAGUAAUGACCUCAACUGAAUUACUAAGAGACCCACCACGACACUCAAUCCUAGAAAAGGAUA